Molecule: ribosomal RNA, 772 nt
Filed under: uncultured bacterium
Lineage: Bacteria
Description: bacterial SSU rRNA
Rfam family: Bacterial small subunit ribosomal RNA
Source: RNAcentral
GACGAACGCUGGCGGCGCGCCUAACACAUGCAAGUCGAACGAGCGAGAGAGAGCUUGCUUUCUCAAGCGAGUGGCGAACGGGUGAGUAACGCGUGAGGAACCUGCCUCAAAGAGGGGGACAACAGUUGGAAACGACUGCUAAUACCGCAUAAGCCCACGGCUCGGCAUCGAGCAGAGGGAAAAGGAGCAAUCCGCUUUGAGAUGGCCUCGCGUCCGAUUAGCUAGUUGGUGAGGUAACGGCCCACCAAGGCGACGAUCGGUAGCCGGACUGAGAGGUUGAACGGCCACAUUGGGACUGAGACACGGCCCAGACUCCUACGGGAGGCAGCAGUGGGGAAUAUUGCACAAUGGGGGAAACCCUGAUGCAGCGACGCCGCGUGGAGGAAGAAGGUCUUCGGAUUGUAAACUCCUGUUGUUGAGGAAGAUAAUGACGGUACUCAACAAGGAAGUGACGGCUAACUACGUGCCAGCAGCCGCGGUAAAACGUAGGUCACAAGCGUUGUCCGGAAUUACUGGGUGUAAAGGGAGCGCAGGCGGGAAGACAAGUUGGAAGUGAAAUCUAUGGGCUCAACCCAUAAACUGCUUUCAAAACUGUUUUUCUUGAGUAGUGCAGAGGUAGGCGGAAUUCCCGGUGUAGCGGUGGAAUGCGUAGAUAUCGGGAGGAACACCAGUGGCGAAGGCGGCCUACUGGGCACCAACUGACGCUGAGGCUCGAAAGUGUGGGUAGCAAACAGGAUUAGAUACCCUGGUAGUCCACACCGUAAACGAUGAU